AAACAGGGAAUUGCCCUAGUACGGCGAGUGAAGCGGCAACAGCUCAAAUUUGAAAUCUGGCCUCCUCUGGUGGUCCGAGUUGUAAUUUGCAGAGGGUGCUUUGGCGUUGGCAGCGGUCUAAGUUCCUUGGAACAGGACGUCACAGAGGGUGAGAAUCCCGUACGUGGUCGCCCGCCUCCGCCGUGUAAAGCCCCUUCGACGAGUCGAGUUGUUUGGGAAUGCAGCUCUAAAUGGGAGGUAAAUUUCUUCUAAAGCUAAAUACUGGCCAGAGACCGAUAGCGCACAAGUAGAGUGAUCGAAAGAUGAAAAGCACUUUGGAAAGAGAGUCAAAAAGCACGUGAAAUUGUUGAAAGGGAAGCGCUUGCAGCCAGACUUGCCCGUAGUUGCUCACCCGGACUUUUGCCCGGGGCACUCUUCUGCGGGCAGGCCAGCAUCAGUUUGGGCGACCGGAUAACGGCCUCUGUCAUGUAUCAUCCCUCGGGAUGACCUUAUAGGGGAGGCGUAAUGCGGCCAGCCUGGACUGAGGUCCGCGCAUCUGCUAGGAUGCUGGCGUAAUGGCUGUAAGCGGCCCGUCUUGGAAACACGGACCAAAAA
This 594-nucleotide ribosomal RNA is filed under the name Setoseptoria arundinacea. Its description in RNAcentral is "eukaryotic LSU rRNA". It matches the Rfam family "Eukaryotic large subunit ribosomal RNA", at positions 66 to 672 of the family's 3401-position model. Lineage: Eukaryota; Fungi; Ascomycota; Dothideomycetes; Pleosporales; Lentitheciaceae. The record is from RNAcentral.